AUGUAAAAACUCUUAUUUUAAUUUCUAACGAAAUUGAUAUUUUGAAAUGUACUUUCCACGGAUAAUUCAUUAGUUAUAAUAGAUCCACGUAAGGAAAUGCGGUUAAAUUAUGUCAAAAUUACAGAGCCGAUUGACAAUUAUAAUAUAUGAGUUCAUAUUAAUAAAAAAUGCCGAAAAACUGAUAGCCUUCUGCUAAAAUAAAGCACUACUACAAAAAGUCACUACUUACCAAACCUUUUAUAAUUGAAUCAUGAAAGUGGACUAACAGUCCUAUUCUCAUGCCCUCAUAAAAAUCACCACACUCACUACUGUGAAGUUUUUGAAUUUUGUAUGAUUACCUUACUGCCUUCCCUAAAUAAAAGCGGCAUCGGCAAAUGACUGUCAAAAAAUUCUCAUGCCUAUACAAUUUGUAUGGCGCAUACCUAAAUAACGCGACGGCGACGCUGGGUGGUUGAAAUUUUCCAUUUUGACAGAGCGUUCCGAAGUAAAGUUGGCUGCGAAAAAUUAAGUUUCUCUGUUCAAUAAAAUUUCACAACAACAAUUCAAGUAAACAUUUUGAUAUUUGACGUAGAGUUGCCGAUUUUAUUUAGGGAUGGCGCAUCGACGUUAACGCUGAGCGGGGAAAAACGUUCCGCCAACGCUUUUAUUUAGGGAAGGCGAAGAUUGAAAAGCUCAAAUGCUCACAAUUUUCUCAAAUCUCUUUGAUGUGUAAAAGCAGCCAUCACAAUACAAAAAUAUAUAUUUUGUUUUACAUCAAUAUUUGAAAACAAAUAUAUAAAUAUUUGAAAGUUGUAACUGGCAUGGGGGAACUGUUCUUUGUGUGUGUGGCUAUUGUUGAGGAGCAGGAGGAAUCGGGGAGUAGGAGAAAAAUUCUGAAGGGUUUUUCGAAACAAAAGCGAUACUUUUACCAUGCACGACACAUCAUUUAUAAAUACAUUUCCAUUUCGCAAAUCGCUAUGUAAAGCUCUGAUAGAUGAAUUAGUGCCGCAUGAUGUUCAGAAGUCGAAUAUUCCUUUUACUCUGAGAUUCCUGCCGUGCUUAUACUUUUACGGGUAUGGCUCUUACCAAAAAUGCGUUCGGAAUAGCUAUAUACUUUCUAUGAGCCAGUCCUCUUUGUCUAGAGCUCUACAUUUUGUAUCUAAAAUAGAUGUGGAUGUUAAGGGCAGUGAAAUUUAUUUCCCUUCAAGCGCGCAGGAUGUUUCGGAUACAAAGAGAGGAUUUUAUACGAAAUUUGGGAUCAAGGGCACAAUCGGCGCAAUCGAUGUUGGGAUUGUUUCACACCCGAGCACAGACGCCACCACUCCACUCUCACUUUUUAUGAAUCGGAAAGGAUUUUACAGCCUUAAUGUAGAAGCGGUUUGUGAUCAUCAACCUCUUGUCACAAUUCUGGUAUUUGGACCACAUCCCCAACACGUAUGCACCUCAUAAGUACAUAUAACAUACAAAGUGAUUACUGGUUGUUAGGUGACCAUGGAUAUCCAUUGGAGCCAUGGCUGUUAACGCCAGUCGCUGAACCUGCAAAUGCAAGGGAAGUGCGUUACAAUAAGUUAUAUUAUGUUCCCACAGACGCUAAUCACCGAGGUUUAGGCUGUUGAGACGUUUAACUCACUAAACCGCUGGAUUUAACAACAUUUCGCCAUACAAAAAUGAUACUUCAUAAUCACUUUACCGAAGCGAUUUGAAGCUGAACUACUCUAAAUCACCCUAUGCGACUCUGAUUUUGCGCCAUCUGUUGGUCACAUUUGUUUAAUCGCAGCUGAUUUUGACACUACAAGCUGUCAAAGUAAAAAAAUAAACACACAAUUUGAAAAGAAGAGAAAAUAACAGACAACGAAACGUGUGGUUUGGAGGGAGGCUGUCGAGGCCGAUUUAAUUCAGCUGUGGCAAGAAAAAAUGCCACAGCUUCGUUCUGCUAGAAAGAACAGCCACAUAUAUGAAAAGAUGUCCAGUGCCUUGGUAUAUAUUGGCCAUAUAUAUACCGCACAGGAAAUAAAAAUAAAAUUUCAUAAUUUUACAAACAAAUACAGGCAAGAGAAACAAAAAAUUGGACCAUCGGGUGGCUCCCCGAGUACAUGGAAAUUGUACGAAGCGUACACCAAGCGGUAGGCGGCUACAAGAGCUUUUGUUCCGCCGAGCUUGUGGAGGACAGCAUCGAGGGUGAUAUGGAGGCGAUUUACCUGGAGGAAGAAAUAGAAGGGGAGUCGCCGCUCCCGAGCCCUGAUGUUGGACGGGUAGCUCGACUCGGCCAUCGUCAAAUGAGGCUGGUAAGAAGAAAAAAACGACUGUGAUGGUAAUGGAGGAGAUGCGGGACGAUUUUUUAUAGGCGACUGAGGCGAUGAAGGAAGCCGAUGAAAAGCGUUUGGACAUGUUACAAAUGUAUGUGAACGAUGUCAGAGAAAUGAAGGACGCUUUCAUCGACUUCCUUCGUCGCCAAAACUAGAUUUAAGUAGAAAUUAAGUUUUAGUUUUAAGAUAUGUAAAUAAAAAAUGUAAAUGAAUUUAAAAAAUUAAGAUAAAUUUAAGUUUUAGUUUUAAGAUACAUAUGUAAAUAAAUGAAAAUGAAUUGUCAAUGAAUAUAAUAAAAAGAAUGUAUGAAUUGGAAAA
Zeugodacus cucurbitae (melon fly) is the source of this 2603-nucleotide long non-coding RNA. RefSeq lists it as uncharacterized. The transcript is spliced from 5 exons. The record is from RefSeq and is a predicted model, not a curated record. Lineage: Eukaryota; Metazoa; Arthropoda; Insecta; Diptera; Tephritidae.